Molecule: long non-coding RNA, 383 nt
Filed under: Mustela putorius furo (domestic ferret)
Lineage: Eukaryota; Metazoa; Chordata; Mammalia; Carnivora; Mustelidae
Description: lncRNA (ENSMPUG00000031885.1)
Source: RNAcentral
CCAUCUUACAUACUCUUUUGCAAUAAUCUUGCUACUCAUCUACUGAGACAUGGAGUCUCUCUUCCUUUUGAAUCCUGGCUGGCCUGUGGUAAGUUCAUCCAACAGUAUUGGUGGAAGUGAUGCUUUGUAACUUCUGAGGCUGGGCUUUAAAAGAUCUUUAGCUCUUGCCUUUGUUGUUUGGAACCCAGCUACCAUGCUGUGAAGAAGCCCAAGUAGCCCCAUGAAGAACCCAUGUGAAGGAGAACCAAGUGCUCUGGCUAACAACCCCAGCCAAGCUCCUGCAUGUCAACUGACAGUCACAACUGAACGCUUUGAGGGUCCUGUAGGGUGAAUUGAGAGGCUAUGCACACCAAUCAUUAGAUAUAAAAGGAUUGAAUUUGUGC